GACGAACGCUGGCGGCGCGCUUAACACAUGCAAGUCGAACGGAAAGGCCCUGCUUUUGUGGGGUGCUCGAGUGGCGAACGGGUGAGUAACACGUGAGUAACCUGCCCUUGACUUUGGGAUAACUUCAGGAAACUGGGGCUAAUACCGGAUAGGAGCUCCUGCUGCAUGGUGGGGGUUGGAAAGUUUCGGCGGUUGGGGAUGGACUCGCGGCUCAUCAGCUUGUUGGUGGGGUAGUGGCUUACCAAGGCUUUGACGGGUAGCCGGCCUGAGAGGGUGACCGGCCACAUUGGGACUGAGAUACGGCCCAGACUCCUACGGGAGGCAGCAGUGGGGAAUAUUGCACAAUGGGCGGAAGCCUGAUGCAGCAACGCCGCGUGCGGGAUGACGGCCUUCGGGUUGUAAACCGCUUUCGCCUGUGACGAAGCGUGAGUGACGGUAAUGGGUAAAGAAGCACCGGCUAACUACGUG
RNAcentral lists this ribosomal RNA (468 nucleotides) under uncultured bacterium. RNAcentral's name for it is "partial 16S ribosomal RNA". It matches the Rfam family "Bacterial small subunit ribosomal RNA", at positions 28 to 507 of the family's 1533-position model. The record is from RNAcentral.